RNAcentral lists this ribosomal RNA (1539 nucleotides) under Klebsiella pneumoniae. RNAcentral describes it as "bacterial SSU rRNA". It matches the Rfam family "Bacterial small subunit ribosomal RNA". The record is from RNAcentral. Lineage: Bacteria; Pseudomonadati; Pseudomonadota; Gammaproteobacteria; Enterobacterales; Enterobacteriaceae.
AAAUUGAAGAGUUUGAUCAUGGCUCAGAUUGAACGCUGGCGGCAGGCCUAACACAUGCAAGUCGAGCGGUAGCACAGAGAGCUUGCUCUCGGGUGACGAGCGGCGGACGGGUGAGUAAUGUCUGGGAAACUGCCUGAUGGAGGGGGAUAACUACUGGAAACGGUAGCUAAUACCGCAUAAUGUCGCAAGACCAAAGUGGGGGACCUUCGGGCCUCAUGCCAUCAGAUGUGCCCAGAUGGGAUUAGCUUGUAGGUGGGGUAACGGCUCACCUAGGCGACGAUCCCUAGCUGGUCUGAGAGGAUGACCAGCCACACUGGAACUGAGACACGGUCCAGACUCCUACGGGAGGCAGCAGUGGGGAAUAUUGCACAAUGGGCGCAAGCCUGAUGCAGCCAUGCCGCGUGUGUGAAGAAGGCCUUCGGGUUGUAAAGCACUUUCAGCGGGGAGGAAGGCGGUGAGGUUAAUAACCUCAUCGAUUGACGUUACCCGCAGAAGAAGCACCGGCUAACUCCGUGCCAGCAGCCGCGGUAAUACGGAGGGUGCAAGCGUUAAUCGGAAUUACUGGGCGUAAAGCGCACGCAGGCGGUCUGUCAAGUCGGAUGUGAAAUCCCCGGGCUCAACCUGGGAACUGCAUUCGAAACUGGCAGGCUAGAGUCUUGUAGAGGGGGUAGAAUUCCAGGUGUAGCGGUGAAAUGCGUAGAGAUCUGGAGGAAUACCGGUGGCGAAGGCGGCCCCCUGGACAAAGACUGACGCUCAGGUGCGAAAGCGUGGGGAGCAAACAGGAUUAGAUACCCUGGUAGUCCACGCCGUAAACGAUGUCGAUUUGGAGGUUGUGCCCUUGAGGCGUGGCUUCCGGAGCUAACGCGUUAAAUCGACCGCCUGGGGAGUACGGCCGCAAGGUUAAAACUCAAAUGAAUUGACGGGGGCCCGCACAAGCGGUGGAGCAUGUGGUUUAAUUCGAUGCAACGCGAAGAACCUUACCUGGUCUUGACAUCCACAGAACUUAGCAGAGAUGCUUUGGUGCCUUCGGGAACUGUGAGACAGGUGCUGCAUGGCUGUCGUCAGCUCGUGUUGUGAAAUGUUGGGUUAAGUCCCGCAACGAGCGCAACCCUUAUCCUUUGUUGCCAGCGGUCCGGCCGGGAACUCAAAGGAGACUGCCAGUGAUAAACUGGAGGAAGGUGGGGAUGACGUCAAGUCAUCAUGGCCCUUACGACCAGGGCUACACACGUGCUACAAUGGCAUAUACAAAGAGAAGCGACCUCGCGAGAGCAAGCGGACCUCAUAAAGUAUGUCGUAGUCCGGAUUGGAGUCUGCAACUCGACUCCAUGAAGUCGGAAUCGCUAGUAAUCGUAGAUCAGAAUGCUACGGUGAAUACGUUCCCGGGCCUUGUACACACCGCCCGUCACACCAUGGGAGUGGGUUGCAAAAGAAGUAGGUAGCUUAACCUUCGGGAGGGCGCUUACCACUUUGUGAUUCAUGACUGGGGUGAAGUCGUAACAAGGUAACCGUAGGGGAACCUGCGGUUGGAUCACCUCCUUA